Molecule: long non-coding RNA, 1664 nt
Organism: Hemibagrus wyckioides
Lineage: Eukaryota; Metazoa; Chordata; Actinopteri; Siluriformes; Bagridae
Exons: 6
Source: RefSeq, a predicted model, not a curated record
UGAGAGAGUGUUAGAUUGUUCACACUGGGGAUCAGUUACAGGAUCUACAUGUAACAUCAGCUUCCUCUCCACAUCCUACACUGGAGUUUACUGGUGUGAGUCUGAAUCUGGAGAAAACAGUAAUCCUGUCCACAUCACAGUGCAUGGUCCUAGUUCCAGUGGAACAUUCAAUGUUGUUAUAUUAGUACUGGCUGGGAGUUUGGGAUUUUUGUUCAUCGCUUUACUGAUCUUAUUGAUCCUGCUGUUGUCCAACAAAAGAAAAAAAGGUGAAGCUGCAGCUGAGAACAAUAAAGCCACUUACACACAGGUGAAAAAGAAAAAGAAGACAAACAGGAACAAUGCUUCUGCAGGAGCUGAUGCUGAUGUGACUUAUGCUGAGAUCCAAAUAAAACCAAAGAAAAAAGCAAAGAGAAUAAAAGAAAAGGCCAGUGUGGCUGAUGAUACUGUCUAUUCAGCAGUGAAGCACAACAUGGAGUGAGCCAUGUGUCUGUUCUGAUGAAGCUACAGUUAUCAAACAGAUAGAAGGGAAACCUAUAGAUAGAUAGAUAGAUAGAUAGAUAGAUAGAUAGAUAGAUAGAUAGAUAGAUAGAUAGAUAGAUAGAUAGAUAGAUAGAUAGAUAGAUAGAUAGAUAGAUAGAUAGCGUUAAAAAUCUCAAUGGAAAAUGCAUACAUUAAAGCUGCAGCAAAAGAAUAGCAUAUGCUAUAUGAAAUCGUCAAGAGUAAUAUAAUAAUGUAAUCUGUAAUAUAAUAAACAUUAAUAAAAAUAAAAUAAAUAUAACUGUAUACACCAGUGUUAGUUGCAACAACUGAUAUGCAGCACAGUAGAUAUGAUCAUCCACAAUAAGCUGCAUCAGUGUAAUUAUAUAGUGAUUAGCAGCAGUGCAGUAAACAGAAUCCCACCAACAGAAGCCCAAUGCACUUAUUUAAGGAACAGACACAAUAACAUCCUGGUACAGUGAUGAACUAUUCUCCUGUACCGGUCCUUGCUGCAGCUGUUUGACCAAUAUGAACAUUAAAGCAUCUGAGCUUCCUCAGAAAGUAGAGGCCACUCAUAAUAACUUUUUUACUAUUUUUAUACUCAUUCUGUAUAUAUACAUGUGGCACAUCUACAUAUUUUAAAGCAUUUAAAAAUAUAUAAUUCAUAAUAUAGUUUUAUUAAUGCACUUUUAACUGGAUACAUGCUAUACAAAUACAAGAAAAAUAAGGUCAGAAACGAGAGUCUAAAAUACAGAUUUUAAAUACAGACUCAUUCCACUGAAAGUACAUUAAUUUAUGUUUGUGGCUCAUUUACAUAUUUUAAUAAAAAUGUUUAUUUUUAUUUUUCUCAUAUACUUACACUUCAGUGCUUUUGGUCGGUUUUUGGAAACGUGAGUGAAGUCUGUAAGGCCGUCACUGUUUUCUUACACAGUGUACAAAACUUCACUGAUGAACGAAUUAAGAUGAAAGUAAAGUUGUCUGAGAUGAAGAAUUAUUUUCUUUUUUUGUCUUUUUAAAUUUUAUCUUGCAUUUGCAAAUUUUCUCUUCAUAUAUUUUUAUUGUUCAUAUUUACAUCUCUACAAAUGACUUGAUGCUUUGUAACUCAUCUCACUGUGUUCAUAAAUGUCCUGAUAUGACUUUGUACUUAAAUAACGUUUGUAUUAAAGUUUUAUGCAUGCACAAUACCU